RNAcentral lists this ribosomal RNA (840 nucleotides) under Stenopelmatus monahansensis. RNAcentral's name for it is "SSU rRNA". It matches the Rfam family "Eukaryotic small subunit ribosomal RNA", at positions 482 to 1234 of the family's 1831-position model. Lineage: Eukaryota; Metazoa; Arthropoda; Insecta; Orthoptera; Stenopelmatidae. The record is from RNAcentral.
GAUACGGGACUCAUCCGAGGCCCCGUAAUCGGAAUGAGCACACUUUAAAUCCUUUAACGAGUAUCCAUUGGAGGGCAAGUCUGGUGCCAGCAGCCGCGGUAAUUCCAGCUCCAAUAGCGUAUAUUAAAGUUGUUGCGGUUAAAAAGCUCGUAGUUGGACUUGUGUCCCACGCUGUCGGUUCACCGCCCGUCGGUGUCUAACUGGCAUGGUUCGUGGGACGUCCUGCCGGUGGUGGCGAGUCGAAGGAGCGCGCCCGUCGUGGUUCACGCCGCGAUCGAGGUUGCGGUCUGUAGACGGACCCCGAUGAAAUCCUACCGCGGUGCUCUUCACCGAGUGUCGAGGUGGGCCGGCACGUUUACUUUGAACAAAUUAGAGUGCUUAAAGCAGGCCUGUUGCGCCUGAAUACUGUGUGCAUGGAAUAAUGGAAUAGGACCUCGGUUCUAUUUUGUUGGUUUUCGGAACCCGAGGUAAUGAUUAAUAGGGACAGUCGGGGGCAUUCGUAUUGCGACGUUAGAGGUGAAAUUCUUGGAUCGUCGCAAGACGGACCGAAGCGAAAGCAUUUGCCAAGUAUGUUUUCAUUAAUCAAGAACGAAAGUUAGAGGUUCGAAGGCGAUCAGAUACCGCCCUAGUUCUAACCAUAAACGAUGCCAGCUAGCGAUCCGCCGAAGUUCCUCCGAUGACUCGGCGGGCAGCUCCCGGGAAACCAAAGCUUUUGGGUUCCGGGGGAAGUAUGGUUGCAAAGCUGAAACUUAAAGGAAUUGACGGAAGGGCACCACCAGGAGUGGAGCCUGCGGCUUAAUUUGACUCAACACGGGAAACCUCACCAGGCCCGGACACUGG